GGGGCUGUAUUUUAGUGGUAGAAUCGGCGGUUCGGGGCCGCCAGACCUGGGUUCAAUCCCCAGCAGCCCCA
This 71-nucleotide transfer RNA is filed under the name Candidatus Woesearchaeota archaeon. RNAcentral's name for it is "tRNA-Pro". It matches the Rfam family "tRNA". Rfam says of the family: Transfer RNA (tRNA) molecules are approximately 80 nucleotides in length. Their secondary structure includes four short double-helical elements and three loops (D, anti-codon, and T loops). Lineage: Archaea; Nanobdellati; Candidatus Woesearchaeota. The record is from RNAcentral. RNAcentral also lists the same sequence under 1 other name.